ACGCUGGCGGCAGGCUUAACACAUGCAAGUCGAACGGUAACAGGGAUUAGCUUGCUAAUUUGCUGACGAGUGGCGGACGGGUGAGUAAUGCUUGGGAAUCUGGCUUAUGGAGGGGGAUAACUACGGGAAACUGUAGCUAAUACCGCGUAAUAUCGGAAGAUUAAAGGGUGGGACUUUCGAGCCACCUGCCAUAAGAUGAGCCCAAGUGGGAUUAGGUAGUUGGUUAGGUAAAGGCUGACCAAGCCGACGAUCUCUAGCUGGUCUGAGAGGAUGACCAGCCACACUGGAACUGAGACACGGUCCAGACUCCUACGGGAGGCAGCAGUGGGGAAUAUUGCACAAUGGGGGGAACCCUGAUGCAGCCAUGCCGCGUGAAUGAAGAAGGCCUUCGGGUUGUAAAGUUCUUUCGGUGACGAGGAAGGUUGAUAGGUUAAUAGCCUAUCAAAUUGACGUUAGUCACAGAAGAAGCACCGGCUAACUCCGUGCCAGCAGCCGCGGUAAUACGGGGGGUGCGAGCGUUAAUCGGAAUAACUGGGCGUAAAGGGCACGCAGGCGGUGACUUAAGUGAGAUGUGAAAGCCCCGAGCUUAACUUGGGAAUUGCAUUUCAUACUGGGUCGCUAGAGUACUUUAGGGAGGGGUAGAAUUCCACGUGUAGCGGUGAAAUGCGUAGAGAUGUGGAGGAAUACCGAAGGCGAAGGCAGCCCCUUGGGAAUGUACUGACGCUCAUGUGCGAAAGCGUGGGGAGCAAACAGGAUUAGAUACCCUGGUAGUCCACGCUGUAAACGAUGUCGAUUUGGGGAUUGGGCUUUGAGCUUGGUGCCCGUAGCUAACGUGAUAAAUCGACCGCCUGGGGAGUACGGCCGCAAGGUUAAAACUCAAAUGAAUUGACGGGGGCCCGCACAAGCGGU
RNAcentral lists this ribosomal RNA (909 nucleotides) under uncultured bacterium. RNAcentral's name for it is "bacterial SSU rRNA". It matches the Rfam family "Bacterial small subunit ribosomal RNA", at positions 33 to 933 of the family's 1533-position model. The record is from RNAcentral.